Molecule: unclassified non-coding RNA, 173 nt
Filed under: uncultured Ascomycota
Lineage: Eukaryota; Fungi; Ascomycota
Description: sequence contains ITS2
Source: RNAcentral
CAGACCAUCAAGCACAGCUUGGUUUUGAGCGCCCUUUCGCCUGUAUUCCAGGCGAAACGCUCUAAAGAAGUCGGCGGCGUAAAGCGAGCCUCGAGCGUAGUAACUAUAUUUCGCUACAAGGUCAUUAUAAUUCGCUGGAGCCAGCCUCUAGAAAACCCCUAGAAAAUUCUAAU